GAAGAAUUAGACUGGAAGAGAAAUUUCUCAAGGAGCUGAUGACAAACGAUAGAGUAAGGAAUGUAGAUGAGCUUGAAAAUGGUGGAAACAGGGGAAACAAUUUAUGCAUAUAUAGUGUUGCAACAAUCGAGGCUGCUACCAAUGGCUUUUCAUUGGACAACAAACUGGGGCAAGGUGGUUUUGGACCUGUUUACAAGGGGAGAUUAACUGAGGGACAGGAAAUAGCAGUAAAGAGACUGUCAAGUAGAUCAGGACAAGGGCUAGAAGAGUUCAAAAAUGA
RNAcentral lists this unclassified non-coding RNA (280 nucleotides) under Hevea brasiliensis (rubber tree). Lineage: Eukaryota; Viridiplantae; Streptophyta; Magnoliopsida; Malpighiales; Euphorbiaceae. The record is from RNAcentral.